GCCUGGCAUGGUGGCCCAUGCCUGUAAUCCAAGCUACUUGGGAGGCUAAGUUAAGAGAAUGGCAAGUUCAAGGCAAGCCUGGGCAACUUAGCCCCUGUCUUAA
This 103-nucleotide small RNA is filed under the name Marmota monax (woodchuck). Lineage: Eukaryota; Metazoa; Chordata; Mammalia; Rodentia; Sciuridae. The record is from RNAcentral.